CCCUUAGAUGUUCUGGGCCGCACGCGCGCUACACUGACGAAUUCAACGAGUUUAUAACCUUUGCUGGGAGGCAUGGGUAAUCUUGUAAACGUUCGUCGUGAUGGGGAUAGAUUAUUGCAAUUGUUAAUCUUCAACGAGGAAUUCCUAGUAAACGCAAGUCAUCAGCUUGCAUUGAUUACGUCCCUGCCCUUUGUACACACCGCCCGUCGCACCUACCGAUUGAAUGGUCCGGUGAAUUCUUCGGACUGCGGCUUUGACUCGAUUUCGGUCGAGGCGUUGCUGCGGGAAGUUGAUUAAACCUUACCAUUUAGAGGAAGGUGAAGUCGUANCA
This 331-nucleotide ribosomal RNA is filed under the name uncultured eukaryote. RNAcentral describes it as "partial 18S ribosomal RNA". It matches the Rfam family "Eukaryotic small subunit ribosomal RNA", at positions 1470 to 1796 of the family's 1831-position model. The record is from RNAcentral.